Molecule: ribosomal RNA, 248 nt
Filed under: uncultured Lachnospiraceae bacterium
Lineage: Bacteria; Bacillati; Bacillota; Clostridia; Lachnospirales; Lachnospiraceae
Description: partial 16S ribosomal RNA
Rfam family: Bacterial small subunit ribosomal RNA
Source: RNAcentral
UACGUAGGGGGCAAGCGUUAUCCGGAUUUACUGGGUGUAAAGGGAGCGUAGGCGGUUUAGCAAGUCAGAAGUGAAAGCCCGCAGCUCAACUGGGGGACUGCUUUUGAAACUGUUAAACUAGAUUGCAGGAGAGGUAAGUGGAAUUCCUAGUGUAGCGGUGAAAUGCGUAGAUAUUAGGAGGAACACCAGUGGCGAAGGCGGCUUACUGGACUGUAAAUGACGCUGAGGCUCGAAAGCGUGGGGAGCAA